GUCCACGCCCUAAACGAUGACGACUAGUUGUUGGGGGAGUUAAAUCCCUUAGUAACGCAGCUAACGCGUGAAGUCGUCCGCCUGGGGAGUACGGUCGCAAGAUUAAAACUCAAAGGAAUUGACGGGGGCCCGCACAAGCGGUGGAUGAUGUGGUUUAAUUCGAUGCAACGCGAAAAACCUUACCUACCCUUGACAUGUCAGGAAUCCUCCAGAAACGGGGGAGUGCCCGAAAGGGAGCCUGAACACAGGUGCUGCAUGGCUGUCGU
Molecule: ribosomal RNA, 266 nt
Filed under: uncultured bacterium
Lineage: Bacteria
Description: partial 16S ribosomal RNA
Rfam family: Bacterial small subunit ribosomal RNA
Source: RNAcentral